CAGGGGGACAAAUAAUUGAUUGUGAUGUCUAAGUAAUUCAAUCUUAGGCCGCAAUCCUGUCACCUUAGGUCGAUCGGUACCUCAGAUUUUUGAAUUAAUUUUAUAAUUAAUCCUUUAAUGUCAGUUCCUAAACUUGUCUAGGCCACACCCAACAAGGGUUUCUCCUGGGCCAUUAGCUCAGGUGGUUAGAGCGCACCCCUGAUAAGGGUGAGGUCCCUGGUUCAAGUCCAGGAUGGCCCAUUCGUUGUUGGGGGUAUAGCUCAGUUGGUAGAGCGCCUGCUUUGCAAGCAGGAUGUCAGCGGUUCGAGUCCGCUUACCUCCACUGAAAACUACCCUGAUAACUACAAUUCAGGAGGAAAUUUGUAAAUGUGACUUAGAGUUGACUACUUAAUAUAGAACCUAGCUUCUUGUCAUCUUUUUUUAUAGUUGAUAAUAUGCUGGGCUCACAUGGAAUUAUUUCCAUGAGAAUUCAGUAGAACCUUGAAAACUGCAUAGAUAGAAAGAAUAAAGCAUCUCAUGGAUGCAUAAUUCUAGAUUGAAAAUUAGGCAUUAGCUUACUUUUCAAUAUUAGAGUUCAUGUCUAAUUCUUGAGUAAAAGCCAAGCACAAUUAAUUUUGUGAUUGUAUUUAA
Molecule: transfer RNA, 630 nt
Filed under: uncultured cyanobacterium
Lineage: Bacteria; Bacillati; Cyanobacteriota
Description: partial contains 16S ribosomal RNA, 16S-23S ribosomal RNA intergenic spacer, and 23S ribosomal RNA
Rfam family: tRNA (bases 250-322)
Source: RNAcentral